CAGACGGGCAUCCUCCUGCCCAAGCCUCCCACCACGGGAGGACAGGGACACCACGCCGUCGUCGAACGCCUUGCGUCGUCCUUUGCGUGCGCCCUGGGCCGGUUCUACCCCUACGCCGGCCGCCUCGCCGUUGCGCCGGGGAGCAGCGUUGGCGGGAAUGGCGAGAGCAUCGCCAUCUCCCUCCGCUGCCGCAUGGAGGGAGCCGAGUUCGUGCACGCCGUGGCGCCCGCCGUCACUGUGGACGACGUCAUCACGCCACUCUAUACCCCGGGGGUGGUCCGGUCCUUCUUCCCUCUCGACGGGCUCCUCGGCGUGGACGCCGCCGCGGGCUCCCACCCGCUCCUUGCCGUGCAAAUCACCGAGCUCGCCGACGGUGUCUUCAUCGCCAUGUCUCUCAACCAUGCCGUCGGCGAUGGGACGGCCUUCUGGCAGAUCUUCAACACCUGGUCCAAGAUCAGCCGUCAGCAUGAUGGGCUCAUCUCCUCGCCGUUACCGGUGCACCGGAGGUGGUUCUUUGACGGCUGCCCUGUCCCGAUCCCUCUGCCCUUCGGCAAGUUAGAGGACAUCGUCAGCUAGAAUACUGAUGAGAUUGGGCACGCUUCGGUGGAGGAAUGCUUCCUCCACUUCUCCACGGAGAGCGUAAAGAAACUCAAAGCGAAGGCCAACGCAGAGUUGGGCAGCACCACCAUCUCCUCAUUGCAGGCCCUCCUUGCGCACCUGUGGAUCGCGGUGUGCAGAGCAAGGAGGCUGGCGCCAGACCAGCGGAUAGUGUACACCCUUCUCGUCGGAUUCCGGGGCCGCCUGCAUGGCAUACCGGUGGACUACGUGGGAAACGCUGUGGCACGAGUUGAGGCGGUGUCCACCGCGGACGAGAUCCUCAAAGGGGGGCCGGGUUGGGCUGCGUCCCUACUGAAUAGGAUGGUGGCGUCGUCCGACUAGGCGACUGAGAGAGACAGGCACGCAUCUUGGAUCCAAACUCCUACCUUCGCCGGAGUGUCGGCGCGCCCCACGGCCACGGCACUGGUGGUGACGGGGGGCACGCGGUGGUUCGACGUGUACGGGAAUGACUUCGGAUGGGGCCGCCCGGUGGGCAUGCAGACUGGUUCAGCCAACAAGACGGAUGGGACGGCGACGGUGUACGAGGGCAGAGGUGGCGGAGGGAGCAUGGAUUUGGAGGUGUGCCUUGCCCCGGAGGUGCUCGCCAGGCUGGUCGCCGACGAGGAGUUCAUUGAUGGAUCGCAGGGCAAAAAUCUAAUCUGCAGAACUCAAUCUCGAGCUAAGCAAACCCUAAACUUACGAACAAGAAAGAAGAUAAUUUGGUGCAUCAAUACGAGCUGCUUUUCGUGGUCCUUUUCAUUGCAUUAUAUAGGGAUACAAAUCACGUCCAACACGGCACAUGCCCAACACGACGUGACCCGGUACAACGCCGGUUUGCAAACCUUUCCUAAUACGACCUAA
RNAcentral lists this ribosomal RNA (1458 nucleotides) under Triticum aestivum (bread wheat). Its description in RNAcentral is "partial small subunit ribosomal RNA". Lineage: Eukaryota; Viridiplantae; Streptophyta; Magnoliopsida; Poales; Poaceae. The record is from RNAcentral.